RNAcentral lists this transfer RNA (66 nucleotides) under Hylobates klossii (Kloss's gibbon). Its description in RNAcentral is "tRNA-Tyr". It matches the Rfam family "tRNA". Rfam says of the family: Transfer RNA (tRNA) molecules are approximately 80 nucleotides in length. Their secondary structure includes four short double-helical elements and three loops (D, anti-codon, and T loops). Further hydrogen bonds mediate the characteristic L-shaped molecular structure. tRNAs have two regions of fundamental functional importance: the anti-codon, which is responsible for specific mRNA codon recognition, and the 3' end, to which the tRNAs corresponding amino acid is attached (by aminoacyl-tRNA synthetases). tRNAs cope with the degeneracy of the genetic code in two manners: having more than one tRNA (with a specific anti-codon) for a particular amino acid; and 'wobble' base-pairing, i.e. permitting non-standard base-pairing at the 3rd anti-codon position. The record is from RNAcentral. Lineage: Eukaryota; Metazoa; Chordata; Mammalia; Primates; Hylobatidae.
GGUAAAAUGGCUGAGUAAAGCAUUAGACUGUAAAUCUAAGGACAGAGGCGGGGCCUCUUUUUGCCA